CGUGAGGGAAGACUGCCCUAUGGGUUGUAAACCUCUUUUGUGCGGGGAUAAAGUGUGGGACGUGUCCCAUAUUGCAGGUACCGCACGAAUAAGGACCGGCUAAUUCCGUGCCAGCAGCCGCGGUAAUACGGAAGGUCCGGGCGUUAUCCGGAUUUAUUGGGUUUAAAGGGAGCGCAGGCCGUCCUUUAAGCGUGCUGUGAAAUGCCGCGGCUCAACCGUGGCACUGCAGCGCGAACUGGAGGACUUGAGUACGCACGAGGUAGGCGGAAUUCGUGGUGUAGCGGUGAAAUGCUUAGAUAUCACGAAGAACUCCGAUUGCGAAGGCAGCUUACCGGAGCGCAACUGACGCUGAGGCUCGAAAGCGCGGGUAUCGAACAGGAUUAGAUACCCUGGUAGUCCGCGCGGUAAACGAUGGAUGCCCGCCGUUGGGAUUUGGAUUUCAGCGGCCAAGCGAAAGCGUUAAGCAUCCCACCUGGGGAGUACGCCGGCAACGGUGAAACUCAAAGGAAUUGACGGGGGCCCGCACAAGCGGAGGAACAUGUGGUUUAAUUCGAUGAUACGCGAGGAACCUUACCCGGGCUUGAAUUGCAGGAGAACGAUCCAGAGAUGGUGAGGCCCUUCGGGGCUCCUGUGAAGGUGCUGCAUGGUUGUCGUCAGCUCGUGCCGUGAGGUGUCGGCUCAAGUGCCAUAACGAGCGCAACCCCUGUCCAUAGUUGCCAUCAGGUUAUGCUGGGCACUCUGUGGAGACUGCCGCCGUAAGGUGUGAGGAAGG
This 772-nucleotide ribosomal RNA is filed under the name human gut metagenome. RNAcentral describes it as "bacterial SSU rRNA". It matches the Rfam family "Bacterial small subunit ribosomal RNA", at positions 400 to 1173 of the family's 1533-position model. The record is from RNAcentral.